GUCACUGGUCAUUCUUCCUUAGUUUCCUAUUCCACUGCACACUAUGAUACAUAACAGUUUCUAGGGGCACAGUUGAUGAAGCACUUAACUGAAGGGGACUUAAAAAUGCCACACUUGGAUUGCAACACAUAUCAAUUAGCCAGUAGCAAUUUUUCUGCUCCCAGUGGUCUGGGAUCAUUAUAGACUAAAUGCCUUUAGGACAUCAUCCAUUUUCUAUGCACACAACAGCCAAAUCUAAAAAUAUGGAAUGAAAUAAUAGCCCAGAAUCUUCUCUACUUUGGCUACUAAGAAGAGGAAAAACAAUUACGGCUCCAGGAAAAGGCAUCUUGGUGUUUUAAAACAUUCAGAACCUGCAUAUUAGAAAUGCUGACACUUAAGAAUUGUGUGAACAGAACCAGAAGAACAUUGGACACAGAAACACCAAUAUUGUUAAAUGAAGAUUUAAACUCAGGGAAAUGAGUCUUCUUCAUGCAGGCCCAGUACUCUAUGUAUUAUGCUAAUUAGAUGAUCUAUCCAUGUUUUCCUGAAGAGGAAACUUGAGGUUGAAAGGAAUUAAGUGACUUAUCCAAAGUGAUCCAAUAUAAGAGGCAAGUUUCAAAACCCAGGUUUCUUUUGACUCCAACAUCAGUAUUCUUUCUACCACAUCAAACUGCUUCUCAGUGGCUUUGGUUAAGUAUCAGUGAAUAUGAAGGAAGAUAAUGCGUGAAUCCUAAAGGACUGAGCAAAGAAAUGGAUCUUUUAUUGAUUCUUUGUGACAUGAAUACACAGACACACACCCUUAAGUUCAAUCAAUGAUCCAAGACAAUCCCAAGGGACUAAAUGAUGAAGCAUAUUAUCUAUCUCAAAAGAAAAAAACUUAUAUUAAUUGAAUACAGACUGAAGAAUGAUAUUUUUCACUUUUUUUUCUUACCUUCAAGUCUUCUUGUAUAAUAUGGUAAUAUUUUAUAUAAUUGAACAAAAAAAAGUUGGGUGAUUUCAGUCAAGUUAUUUCAUUUCUCUUAGUCUUUAUAAAAUGAGGAUAAUGAUAAGUUUUCAUAUACAUAAUAAGAGUUUUCUUAGGGCAGAAUGUAUUAAACUAUCUAAAAUUACCUCUAGAUGAGAGCAUUUCUGGAUCAACAGCCUUCAUCCAGAUAUAUGCCUAAUUUGUUGUAACUAAAUUCAAAGUGUAUUUUUUUAACUAAAAGGAAGAAAAAAGUUAGAUCAUAGGCAACUGAUGGAAUGAAAUGGAUUGUUUAGCUCUACAAUAACAGAAAAAGAGAAAGGAGAAGGAGGAAGUGAAGGAGAGGGGAGAAAAGGGAGAGAUGGAGGAAAAAAGAAGGAGGAGGAGAUGAUGAUGAUGAUGAUGAUGAUGAUGAUGAUGGUGGUGGUGGUGGUGGUGAUAUAAAACUGAAGAAGAAAACUGAAAAGAUGGGAGCUUGAUUGAACAGAAUUUUAAAUGUCAGGUUAAUGGUUUUGUAUUUUAUCAAAGACUUAAUGAAAAGAAAUUAAAGAUUUUUAAGAUGGGAAAGGGAAGUAUGAUAGAAUCAAAUAUAUGUUUAAGGAAAAUGUCAGAUAUGUGAAUGUUUGGUGAAAAUAUAAUGUUUAGACAAUGAAUUUAGAAAGUUGGAAGACUAGAGACAGGGAGAUGAAUUAGGAAGCUAAUACUCAAAAGUCUUUAAACUCAAAUAGUCUAUAUGAAUAGAAAGGAGUGGAUAGAUAUGAGAAAUAUUGUCAUUAAUAAGACUUAACAAGAGAUUAUAUAAGAAAACAGCAAACAACUCCAGUGUCUUUGACAAGAAAGCUCCAAGUAGGGUAAUGAAAAGCUAUACAUAACUGAAAUGACAGAACAACAAUAAAAAAGAUUGAAUGGAGAGAUUGAAGGAAAAAAAUGAGUCAAAGAUUUCCCCAAAACUGAGAAUUUAGUUGACUACAAGGAUACAUAAGCAGAAAUGUGGAAGUUUUUAAAAGCAAUGCGUUUCAGAAGACAUAUGACCUAAAGAAUGUGAAAUUGCUAUGGGUUAUCCAAAUAAAGAUGGCUAGUUAUAUAGUUGUUUCAAUUGUUUCUGACUCUUUUGAUCAUAUUUGGAGUUUUCAUGGCAAAGAUACUGGAGAAGGAUGCCAUUUUCUUCUCCAGCUCAUUUUUAUAGAUAAAAAACUGAGGCAAACAGGUUGAAGUGAUUUGCCUGAAAUCACAGAGAUAGGUGGGACUGUCAACAAAUUCAAAGACUGCAAGGGAAAGGAAAAGAAGUGAAAGUCAAUAUAAGACCAUUUCAAAUAAUAUUAUUUUUAAAUUCAUAGUGUUCGAAAGCAAAAAGUAAACAUUUUCUCUAAAUAGUGAAUUGAAUUUUAUGGCAGUAUGCCUGUUGCAUGAUAUAUAGAUAUGGGUUAUGUGUCCUGGAAAAAAAAAAUGUGUUUUUACUAUUCUAUCGACUUUAUAAUCAAGGCAGUUGUUUGGGUUAAAAUUGUACUGUCUUCAUUUAAUUUAGGGAAAGUGUGCUGACAUAUUUCAGCUUUAUAGAAUCUAUAUCUUAGAAUGAGUGACAACUAUGUUGAGAAAUAUAUCCUCAAAAAUCCCUACCAGUCUGGUGCAGAAUGUUAGUAAUAAAUAUUUUCUGAUUUC
Molecule: long non-coding RNA, 2599 nt
Organism: Antechinus flavipes (yellow-footed antechinus)
Lineage: Eukaryota; Metazoa; Chordata; Mammalia; Dasyuromorphia; Dasyuridae
Exons: 2
Source: RefSeq, a predicted model, not a curated record